This 229-nucleotide long non-coding RNA is filed under the name Setaria italica (foxtail millet). Its description in RNAcentral is "long non-coding RNA (SITA_LNC005026)". Lineage: Eukaryota; Viridiplantae; Streptophyta; Magnoliopsida; Poales; Poaceae. The record is from RNAcentral.
AGGGGUUGAAUAUGCCUCCUCAUAAAACUAAAGGCUACCCCAACUCCUAUCAGCCCUUACUGCUUGAGUCUAGCUAUCUUCUCCAGGAGAUCGAAUAGCUUCAAGCUGUCUCUGUGGGUAGGCUCGUCCAACCACCUGUUGUUCCAAAUCGGGCAGUGGCCUGUCACCUUGGGAAGCUUGGGCUCAUGCUUGCCGAUGUAGCACCACCUCUCCUUCCAUCCAGAGUGUG